UACAGAGGGGGCGAGCGUUGUUCGGAAUUACUGGGCGUAAAGGGCGCGUAGGCGGCCCGCUAAGUCGAACGUGAAAUCCCCAGGCUCAACCUGGGAACUGCGUCCGAUACUGGCAGGCUUGAAUCCGGGAGAGGGAUGCAGAAUUCCAGGUGUAGCGGUGAAAUGCGUAGAUAUCUGGAGGAACACCGAUGGCGAAGGCAGGUCUCUGGGCCACUACUGACGCUGAGAAGCGAAAGCAUGGGGAGCGAACAGG
This 253-nucleotide ribosomal RNA is filed under the name uncultured bacterium. RNAcentral describes it as "partial 16S ribosomal RNA". It matches the Rfam family "Bacterial small subunit ribosomal RNA", at positions 524 to 776 of the family's 1533-position model. The record is from RNAcentral.